GAGUUUGAUCCGUGGCUCAGGAUGAACGCUGGCGGCGUGCCUAAUACAUGCAAGUCGAGCGAACGGACGAGAAGCUUGCUUCUCUGAUGUUAGCGGCGGACGGGUGAGUAACACGUGGAUAACCUACCUAUAAGACUGGGAUAACUUCGGGAAACCGGAGCUAAUACCGGGAUAAUAUUUUGAACCGCAUGGUUCAAAAGUGAAAGACGGUCUUGCUGUCACUUAUAGGUGGAUCCGCGCUGCAUUAGCUAGUUGUAGGUAACGGCUUACCAAGGC
This 276-nucleotide ribosomal RNA is filed under the name uncultured microorganism. RNAcentral's name for it is "partial 16S ribosomal RNA". It matches the Rfam family "Bacterial small subunit ribosomal RNA", at positions 9 to 274 of the family's 1533-position model. The record is from RNAcentral.